AGCUGUGAAGCUCUGUCCUCAGCUCCCAGUCCUCUAGUCUGAGAGAGCUGGACCUGAGUAACAACAACCUGCAGGAUUCAGGACAGAAGCUGAUCUCUGAUGAACUGAAGAGUCCACACUGCACACUGGAGAGUCUCAGACCGAGUCGCUGUUAC
Long non-coding RNA from Etheostoma cragini (Arkansas darter), 155 nucleotides. RefSeq lists it as uncharacterized. NCBI's taxonomy places the organism in Eukaryota, Metazoa, Chordata, Actinopteri, Perciformes, Percidae. The transcript has 3 exons. The record is from RefSeq and is a predicted model, not a curated record.